This 253-nucleotide ribosomal RNA is filed under the name uncultured bacterium. RNAcentral's name for it is "partial 16S ribosomal RNA". It matches the Rfam family "Bacterial small subunit ribosomal RNA", at positions 524 to 776 of the family's 1533-position model. The record is from RNAcentral.
UACGAAGGGGGCUAGCGUUGCUCGGAAUUAUUGGGUUUAAAGGGUGCGUAGGCGGGUUGUUAAGUCAGUGGUGAAAGCUCCGAGCCCAACUCGGAAACUGCCAUUGAUACUGACGAUCUUGAGUACAUUUGAGGUGGGCGGAAUGUGUCAUGUAGCGGUGAAAUGCUUAGAGAUGACACAGAACACCGAUUGCGAAGGCGGCUCACUAAACUGUAACUGACGCUGAGGCACGAAAGCGUGGGGAGCAAACAGG